RNAcentral lists this ribosomal RNA (401 nucleotides) under uncultured bacterium. RNAcentral's name for it is "bacterial SSU rRNA". It matches the Rfam family "Bacterial small subunit ribosomal RNA", at positions 29 to 417 of the family's 1533-position model. The record is from RNAcentral.
AGCGAACGCUGGCGGCGUGCUUAACACAUGCAAGUCGAGUGAAGGAAAUCCCUGUAGCAAUACCGGGGUUUCUAUUCACGGCGCACGGGUGCGUAACACGUGGGUGACCUGCCCUAAGAUGGGGAAUAACCCCGCGAAAGCGGGCUAAUACCGCAUAAAAUUCCGCGACAUUCGGGUUGCGGAUUCAAAGUCUUCGGACGUCUUUGGAGGGCCCGCGGCCGAUUAGCUAGUUGGCGAGGUAACGGCNCACCAAGGCAAUGAUCGGUAGCUGGUCUGAGAGGAUGAUCAGCCACACUGGAACUGAGACACGGUCCAGACUCCUACGGAGGCAGCAGUGGGGAAUCUUGCGCAAACUGGGCGAAAGACCUGACGCAGCGACGCCGCGUGGGGGAUGAAGCUUC